UACGGGAGGCAGCAGUGAGGAAUAUUGGUCAAUGGACGAGAGUCUGAACCAGCCAAGUAGCGUGCAGGAUGACGGCCCUAUGGGUUGUAAACUGCUUUUAUAAGGGAAUAAAGUGAGUCUCGUGAGACUUUUUGCAUGUACCUUAUGAAUAAGGACCGGCUAAUUCCGCGCCAGCAGCCGCGGUAAUACGGAAGGUCCGGGCGUUAUCCGGAUUUAUUGGGUUUAAAGGGAGCGUAGGCCGGAGAUUAAGCGUGUUGUGAAAUGUAGACGCUCAACGUCUGCACUGCAGCGCGAACUGGUUUCCUUGAGUACGCACAAAGUGGGCGGAAUUCGUGGUGUAGCGGUGAAAUGCUUAGAUAUCACGAAGAACUCCGAUUGCGAAGGCAGCUCACUGGAGCGCAACUGACGCUGAAGCUCGAAAGUGCGGGUAUCGAACAGGAUUAGAUACCCUGGUAGUCCGCACGGUAAACGAUGGAUGCCCGCUGUUGGUCUGAAUAGGUCAGCGGCCAAGCGAAAGCAUUAAGCAUCCCACCUGGGGAGUACGCCGGCAACGGUGAAACUCAAAGGAAUUGACGGGGGCCCGCACAAGCGGAGGAACAUGUGGUUUAAUUCGAUGAUACGCGAGGAACCUUACCCGGGCUUGA
RNAcentral lists this ribosomal RNA (644 nucleotides) under uncultured bacterium. RNAcentral describes it as "bacterial SSU rRNA". It matches the Rfam family "Bacterial small subunit ribosomal RNA", at positions 340 to 984 of the family's 1533-position model. The record is from RNAcentral.